Molecule: long non-coding RNA, 546 nt
Organism: Rosa rugosa (rugosa rose)
Lineage: Eukaryota; Viridiplantae; Streptophyta; Magnoliopsida; Rosales; Rosaceae
Exons: 3
Source: RefSeq, a predicted model, not a curated record
GAGAUUGCGUGAUGCAUACGAGAAACUCAAAAAGAGAGGUAUCCCACUAGCAUCAAAGCAAGUGAAUUACAGUCUCAUAUACAAGGCACCAGAGGAGAAUGGAGGUAAGGCUACCUGUGACGAACUUGGGAUCACUUUGAUUGCCUAUUCACCUAUUGCUCAAGGUACAGUGUGAAUUUUUGAUGUUUUGCAUUCCUUUUAGUAAUGCCUUUUCUAACAUGUUGCUGCAGGAAUAUAAGGAGAAGCCAGAUUAUGCACGUUGUGUUGCUAUUGUAGCAUAUGCAUCUUUGAGGGAGAUGAUAAAACCUGGUGCCUUGGCUAUUAUUUCACCUAUAGCAGUUGGUAUUGCGUUCCGGAUAUUUGGAUACUAUCCGGAGGCAAAGGAAGUGAUUGUCAUAAGGCUGCAAUUACAGGAGACAUAGUGGGAGACCCAUUCAAAGACACAGCUGGACCUUCACUUCAUGUCCUUAUUAAAAUGCUUGCUACAAAAAUGCUGGUCAUGGCUCCUGUCUUUCUCUGAGUAGUUUAUAACAAUUCCGGGUUUUC